UACGUAGGGGGCGAGCGUUGUCCGGAAUUACUGGGCGUAAAGGGCGUGUAGGCGGUCAAUUAAGUUAGAUGUGAAAGACCCGGGCUUAACUCGGGGAUUGCAUUUAAGACUGGUAGACUUGAGUACAGGAGAGGAAAGUGGAAUUCCUAGUGUAGCGGUGAAAUGCGUAGAUAUUAGGAGGAACACCAGUGGCGAAGGCGACUUUCUGGACUGUAACUGACGCUGAGGCGCGAAAGCGUGGGUAGCAAACAGGAUUAGAUACCCUGGUAGUCCACGCCGUAAACGAUGGAUACUAGGUGUAGGAGGUAUCGACCCCUUCUGUGCCGUCGCAAACGCAAUAAGUAUCCCGCCUGGGGAGUACGGCCGCAAGGUUGAA
RNAcentral lists this ribosomal RNA (376 nucleotides) under uncultured bacterium. RNAcentral describes it as "bacterial SSU rRNA". It matches the Rfam family "Bacterial small subunit ribosomal RNA", at positions 524 to 898 of the family's 1533-position model. The record is from RNAcentral.